UAAAGUUCAAACUCUAUUAGGAAUAUAAAAAAAGAGAAAUUUAUUUAUUUUAAUCCAUUUAUAUAAAUGGAUAUCAGAUACCGAAUUCAGAUUACGGGUAUUUUCAAAGGGUUGAAUUCAAACCCGAAACGGAUAUAAAAAUUAUAAACCAAUAUAAUUCCAAAUCCAUUUACAAUUAUCUGAAUUCUUCUCAUUAUAGUUCGAUCGAUGCCUAAAAAAACUUAUCUAGCUACCAUCUCUAUCUUGUAAAAGAAUAAGUCUCCUUUAAAUUUUCGAUUGCAAGAUUUGAGUAUAUUAGAGGCAUUGUUGAUACCAACCAAUAGAAAAGCCCAUUGUCCUAAAUAUAGAUUGAUAAAAAAAAACAAUUCGAAGACCUAUGCCUAAAUCAUUUGAUAUUUUAAGUCAAAUGAGUUUUAAAGCAGGCAAGGUCAUCACCACUAAAGUUGAUUUUGGUUAGUAAAUGAUCUUUUAAAUAUAUAAGGUUAUCAUUAACAGGGCUAAAUUGCCUUCACCAUCACUAGAUUUUGAGGUUAGUAUCAUUAAAGUCUCUGAACUUCAAUUUGUAACACUAAACCUGCUAAAUCUUAAUUUUAGUAUCAAUAAUUCCUUACCGUUAACUUCUGUUAAAUAUCUAAAGAAAAAAUCACGUGUCAGCUCAUUUGUAAAAAAAGAUUCUACAGAAAAAAUCCACCUUAUUUAAAUAGGACAUGUUAGCAACAUGUCCUAUUAAUUCUUCCUCAUCCAAAAAUAAAUAAAAUCAGAAUCAAAAUAACCUAAAAUCAAAUUGAAUAAACCAAAUUUCACACAAAAUCAAAAUCAAAAUCAAAACCUGUGAACUACGGAAUCAAGAGUCCCCUAACUAAAAUCCUAUACGAAAUCAAAAUCAAAAUAAAAAUCUGCAGUUUCACCAUAACUGAAAUCAAAAUCAAAAUCAAAAUAACAAUAACCAAAUCUAUACAAAACCAAAAUUACUCGCCUUAUCACUGCGGUUAUAACCCGCAAGCUCCAACCAGUCACCACCGCACUAGCAACACCCAGCAACCAACAACGUCAACAUUUUCAACUUCACCUCACUAACAACAUCAAUGUUCUCAAUCAGCAACGGCGUCGUGGAGAGCAACAACUAAUAAUGGAUAUUCAAGAGGUGGAAACCCAUCUCCUUUAUUUGUAGGAUUUUAGUUUGGGAGUAAAGAUCAAUAAUACUGGAUGUAUCAAAUGUCAAAAAUAACAGCUUCUCUUCGUUUUUUUGAUUUUAGGAAAAUAUGAAUUUAGGUAAAUUUUAUUUAUUUUAUUUUUUUCUAUUUUAUUAAAAAUGGUUGAUUAACCCAAAAAAAAUCAUGGUAUGUAAUACUAUAGAGAUAGUUGUCUUACUAUUUUAGGUGUUAUAUCUUGUUAGGGUUCUAAAAAUAUAAAGAAGAGAAGAGGAAGAAGAUAUACGAAGGAGAAUGAGAA
This 1452-nucleotide long non-coding RNA is filed under the name Ricinus communis (castor bean). RNAcentral's name for it is "long non-coding RNA (RCOM_LNC001443)". The record is from RNAcentral. Lineage: Eukaryota; Viridiplantae; Streptophyta; Magnoliopsida; Malpighiales; Euphorbiaceae.